RNAcentral lists this RNase P RNA (335 nucleotides) under Chloroflexota bacterium. RNAcentral describes it as "Chloroflexi bacterium (anaerobic digester metagenome) RNase P RNA component class A". It matches the Rfam family "Bacterial RNase P class A". Rfam says of the family: Ribonuclease P (RNase P) is a ubiquitous endoribonuclease, found in archaea, bacteria and eukarya as well as chloroplasts and mitochondria. Its best characterised activity is the generation of mature 5'-ends of tRNAs by cleaving the 5'-leader elements of precursor-tRNAs. The record is from RNAcentral. Lineage: Bacteria; Bacillati; Chloroflexota.
CAGGUCAGCCAGGUGCGCGCGCUCAUAGAGUGAGGAAAGUCCGUACACCAUAGAGCAGGAUGCCAGAUAACAUCUGGAGAGGUGUAAACUUCUGGACCGGGCCACAGAAACAUACCGCUCGUGAGAGUAAGGUUGAAAAGGUGGUGUAAGAGACCACCGGCGCUUUUGGUAACAGAAGCGGCCAGGUAACCCCCAUCCGGUGCAAGGUCAAACAGGAGAGAUGAGUUUGCUCGGCUCGCUGGAUCUCCGGGUAGACCGCAUGAGCAGAUUGGUGACAAUUUGUCUAGAUAGAUGCGCAUCCGCGACAGAAUACGGCUUACAGGUUGACCUGAGCA